This 41-nucleotide transfer RNA is filed under the name Anastrepta orcadensis. RNAcentral describes it as "partial tRNA-Phe". Lineage: Eukaryota; Viridiplantae; Streptophyta; Jungermanniopsida; Jungermanniales; Anastrophyllaceae. RNAcentral also lists the same sequence under 1 other name. The record is from RNAcentral.
GGGAUAGCUCAGUUGGUAGAGCAGAGGACUGAAAAUCCUCG